This 1080-nucleotide ribosomal RNA is filed under the name Alistipes sp. Its description in RNAcentral is "partial 23S ribosomal RNA". It matches the Rfam family "Bacterial large subunit ribosomal RNA", at positions 1 to 1092 of the family's 2925-position model. Lineage: Bacteria; Pseudomonadati; Bacteroidota; Bacteroidia; Bacteroidales; Rikenellaceae. The record is from RNAcentral.
AAGAAAGUAAAGAAGGGCGCAUGGCGGAUGCCUUGGCUCUUGGAGGCGAAGAAGGACGUGAUAAGCUGCGAUAAGCCACGGGGAGGAGCAAAUAUCCAUUGAUCCGCGGAUUUCCGAAUGGGGCAACCCGAUAGAUGGAAGGUCUAUCACACCGUAAAGGUGGGCAUACGCAGGGAACUGAAACAUCUUAGUACCUGCAGGAAGAGAAAAUAAAAAAUGAUUCCCCAAGUAGUGGCGAGCGAACGGGGAAGAGCCCAAACCGACGUUGUUGAGGCAAUGUCGGGGUUGAAGGAGUAUCACAAAGCGACUAUGGAGGUGACUGGAAUGCAUUGGAAAGUGCAGCCGAAGCGGGUGACAGCCCCUUACAGGAAGCCGAAGUUACGUGAGAUACCACCUGAGUAACGCGGAGCACGAGGAAUUCUGCGUGAAUCUGCCGGGACCAUCCGGUAAGGCUAAAUACAUACAAGAGACCGAUAGCGAACUAGUACUGUGAAGGAAAGGUGCAAAGAACCUCGAACAGAGGAGUGAAAUAGUUCCUGAAACCAUGCGCUUACAAGCGGUCGGAGCGGCUAAGUGCCGUGACGGCGUGCCUUUUGCAUAAUGAACCUACGAGUUACUGUUGUUGGCGAGGUUAAGACAUUAAGUGUCGGAGCCGAAGCGAAAGCGAGUUUUAAGUGGCGUAAAGUCAGCAGUAGUAGACGCGAAACCAAGUGAUCUACCCAUGGCCAGGUUGAAGUUUGGGUAAAACCAACUGGAGGACCGAACUGAUAAGCGUUGAAAAGCUUCCGGAUGAGCUGUGGGUAGGAGUGAAAGGCCAAUCAAACUUGGAGAUAGCUCGUACUCCCCGAAAUGCAUUUAGGUGCAGCCUCAGGAGUUUCUUAUGAGAGGUAGAGCGACUGAUUGGAUGCGAGGGCUUCACCGCCUAUCAAGUCCUGACAAACUCCGAAUGCUCAUAAGUUAUCCUGGGAGUGAGGGCGCGGGUGCUAACGUCCGUGUCCGAGAGGGAAAGAACCCAGACCAUCGGCUAAGGCCCUUAAAUGUAUGCUAAGUUACAUUAACGAAGUUUUGUCGCAGUGACAG